AUUCCGUGUUGAGGACACUUCCUUUGUAAUCCUUUGAAUCUUGUCCAAGCCUCGUACAAAGAUUCACUUUCUUUUUGUUUCAAAAGCUGUGAUCUCCACCUUGAGCCU
Small nucleolar RNA from Gastrolobium bilobum, 108 nucleotides. Lineage: Eukaryota; Viridiplantae; Streptophyta; Magnoliopsida; Fabales; Fabaceae. The record is from RefSeq and is a predicted model, not a curated record.